AGCAGCCGCGGUAAUUCCAGCUCCAAUAGCGUAUAUUAAAGUUGUUGCAGUUAAAAAGCUCGUAGUUGAAUUUCGGGAUUGACGUGAUGGUCGUGCCUUAAGGGGUAUGAACUGUCGCUGUUGAUUUCUCACCUUCUGGAGAAACUUGAUGUCCUUAAUUGGGUGUCUUGCGGAUCCAGGACCUUUACCUUGAAAAAUUAGAGUGUUUAAAGCAGGCAUUUUUGCUCGAAUACAUUAGCAUGGAAUAAUAGAAUAGGACGGCAUGGUUCUAUUUUGUUGGUUUCUAGGAUCACCGUAAUGAUUAAUAGGGAUAGUUGGGGGCAUUAGUAUUCAAUUGUCAGAGGUGAAAUUCUUGGAUUUAUUGAAGACUAACUACUGCGAAAGCAUUUGCCAAGGAUGUUUUCAUUAAUCAAGAACGAAAGUUAGGGGAUCGAAGACGAUCAGAUACCGUCGUAGUCUUAACCAUAAACUAUGCCGACUAGGAAUCAGACGAUGUUAAUUUUUUAAUGACUCGUUUGGC
This 520-nucleotide unclassified non-coding RNA is filed under the name uncultured Entrophospora. RNAcentral's name for it is "SSU rRNA". It matches the Rfam family "Eukaryotic small subunit ribosomal RNA", at positions 569 to 1084 of the family's 1831-position model. Lineage: Eukaryota; Fungi; Glomeromycota; Glomeromycetes; Entrophosporales; Entrophosporaceae. The record is from RNAcentral.